This 269-nucleotide ribosomal RNA is filed under the name uncultured bacterium. RNAcentral's name for it is "partial 16S ribosomal RNA". The record is from RNAcentral.
CUGCUGCCUCCCGUAGGAGUCUGGGCCGUGUCUCAGUCCCAGUGUGGGGGGGCCUUCCUCUCAGAACCCCUACGCAUCGUCGCCACGGUGGGCCGUCACCCCGCCGUCUAGCUAAUGCGCCGCAUGCCCAUCCGCCACCGGAUCGCUCCUUUUGGCCACCGGAGGAUGCCCUCCGGUGGCGUCACGGGGUAUUAGGCCGCGUUUCCGCGGGUUAUCCCCUGUGGCGGCCAGGUUGCAUACGUGUUACUCACCGUGCGCCGGUCGCCGGG